GAGCUGGAAUCUUGUGUGCCAGCAGGUGGAUUUUAUAAUGCAUGCAUUUUUACUUUUAGACAUAAUUCAGUCGAGCGCGGUACUUGAUUAGUACCUCUCAAACGUAAGAAGCUACUUAAUGUGAGGCGCACUUACCGAAUUAUGUGAGAUUGUAAUUUAUUUUUUAAGUGUGCAUGAUUGAUGAUUCGUAUGUUUAUUUUACUAUUCAAAGAUGGUUGGUUCACCAGAAGAAAAGUUUAUAUGCAAGAUGUAAAGGUAUAAGAACCAAAGACGAAUGUCAGCUUAUUUCACAUGUUUGCCGCCCGAAUUCCUCAGUUCGAUGAAUUGAAAUAAUGAAACAUUUCUUGUGAUGGAGAUAAAUCAGUUACUUUGGUCCAAAAACAUUUUUUCUGACAAAUAAAACUACUUUAGCCAAACAA
Dendroctonus ponderosae (mountain pine beetle) is the source of this 419-nucleotide long non-coding RNA. RefSeq lists it as uncharacterized. The record is from RefSeq and is a predicted model, not a curated record. NCBI's taxonomy places the organism in Eukaryota, Metazoa, Arthropoda, Insecta, Coleoptera, Curculionidae. The transcript is spliced from 2 exons.